AACGAACGCUGGCGGCAUGCCUAACACAUGCAAGUCGAACGAGACCUUCGGGCCUAGUGGCGCACGGGUGCGUAACGCGUGGGAACCUGCCCUUAGGUUCGGAAUAACUCCCCGAAAGGGGUGCUAAUACCGGUUAAUGUCUUCGGACCAAAGAUUUAUCGCCUUUGGAUGGGCCCGCGUUGGAUUAGCCAGUUGGUAGGGUAAAAGCCUACCAAGGCGACGAUCCAUAGCUGGUCUGAGAGGAUGAUCAGCCACACUGGGACUGAGACACGGCCCAGACUCCUACGGGAGGCAGCAGUGGGGAAUAUUGGAGAAUGGGCGAAAGCCUGAUCCAGCAAUGCCGCGUGAGUGAUGAAGGCCUUAGGGUUGUAAAGCUCUUUUACCCGGGAUGAUAAUGACAGUACCGGGAGAAUAAGCUCCGGCUAACUCCGUG
RNAcentral lists this ribosomal RNA (433 nucleotides) under uncultured bacterium. Its description in RNAcentral is "partial 16S ribosomal RNA". It matches the Rfam family "Bacterial small subunit ribosomal RNA", at positions 29 to 507 of the family's 1533-position model. The record is from RNAcentral.